CUUUUGUGGAAUUCUCCAGACGACAGGGAAGCACAUAACGUAGAAAACUUGAAAGAAUCACAUAAAUGUGUAAAUUAAAAAUAUACAAGGUAUAAAUAAACAAAUACAGGAAAGUUCAUUUCACAACAAAUUGGGAGAAACCAAUGAAUUCCUGUAAUAAUGCCUUUCCUUAAUAGGAAUGAAAUGGAUCAGCAGUUCAUCUCACCUCCUUUCAAUCACUUUCAAAGUCUUCAUCCCCAAAGGAAAAAACUGAAGCAUCUGCUGCAAUUGCCUUGAUGUCACUUGCCCCUACAGAUUCCACGUUUGUGCUGCUAUUGCCUGUAUGAAUUUUAUUAUGUUCAUCUGCAGUUGAUUGUUCAGAAGUAUUGUUCUGCAUGCCUGCCUCAUGCUUUAGUGACAAUCGAUCAGUUGAGUGUCUCAACAUCCCUACGUGGUCUGUUGUCUCCUCAGAAGCUUGAUGAGGUGCCAUAAAUUUGUACUCAGUUGCAGCUUUCUUGCUUUGUGUAUCUCGGCCCUCCUCUUCAUCACUGUCUGAGAAUACAUCAUCUUCAUUUCUCGGGAGUUUACUCUCAGUUGAAUUAGAUGUAGUAGGCUUUGGACCAGGUAGGGCAUUGAUUGUGUUUUGGUCAGAUCCUUUGCUGGCGGAAUUUGCUUUUGUCCUUGAAGGUAGGGUGCCAUUAUAGUCUAUCAUGACAACUUCCACCCGGAAUCCUGGAGCGGGGAUCUUCCUCUGAAGGGUGCAACGACACUCCAAAAUGUUGUUAGAGCUCUUCGGGGAAUGGCAUGCCAAUUGGCUGCAUUUGAGUGUAAGAAAGCUUUGUCAAUAGGAUCUUCUAAAUAUUUCUGUCGAGGAUAUGCAAGGUACUGUCAAACUAUACCCAAUAUCAACCACCAAAGUUAGACAACAAAGAAACAUGCAGAUUUUUUUCUUUUUCAUUCGUGUUUUGUUUUACAUUAAUCCAUUAUUCCUUAGUCAUAUCUCCAAGUGUGGCUGUUCGUAAUGUGUCAUAACAUAUAGUUUGAGGUAUAGGAGAGGAGGGGGGGUCCAACAAGAGGGACGACUAACAUACCCUCAUGGUUUUGUUGUCUUUUUAAUCAUUUCAUAAAGUUCCUUUAAAAGUA
This 1122-nucleotide small RNA is filed under the name Vigna angularis var. angularis. Its description in RNAcentral is "Non-protein coding transcript". The record is from RNAcentral. Lineage: Eukaryota; Viridiplantae; Streptophyta; Magnoliopsida; Fabales; Fabaceae.